GACGAACGCUGGCGGCGUGCUUAACACAUGCAAGUCGAACGGAAAGGCCCUGCUUUUGUGGGGUGCUCGAGUGGCGAACGGGUGAGUAACACGUGAGUAACCUGCCCUUGACUUUGGGAUAACUUCAGGAAACUGGGGCUAAUACCGGAUAGGAGCUCCUGCUGCGUGGGGGGGGUUGGAAAGUUUCGGCGGUUGGGGAUGGACUCGCGGCUUAUCAGCUUGUUGGUGGGGUAGUGGCUGACCAAGGCUUUGACGGGUAGCCGGCCUGAGAGGGUGACCGGCCACAUUGGGCCUGAGAUACGGCCCAGACUCCUACGGGAGGCAGCAGUGGGGAAUAUUGCACAAUGGGCGGAAGCCUGAUGCAGCAACGCCGCGUGCGGGAUGACGGCCUUCGGGUUGUAAACCGCUUUCGCCUGUGACGAAGCGUGAGUGACGGUAAUGGGUAAAGAAGCACCGGCUAACUACGUG
Molecule: ribosomal RNA, 468 nt
Filed under: uncultured bacterium
Lineage: Bacteria
Description: partial 16S ribosomal RNA
Rfam family: Bacterial small subunit ribosomal RNA
Source: RNAcentral